GAUGAACGCUGGCGGCGUGCUUAACACAUGCAAGUCGAACGAAGCACUUUGAUCGAUUUCUUCGGAUUGAAAUUUUAGUGACUGAGUGGCGGACGGGUGAGUAACGCGUGGGUAACCUGCCUCACACAGGGGGAUAACAGUUGGAAACGGCUGCUAAUACCGCAUAAGCGCACAGUACCGCAUGGUACAGUGUGAAAAACUCCGGUGGUGUGAGAUGGACCCGCGUCUGAUUAGCUAGUUGGCAGGGCAGCGGCCUACCAAGGCGACGAUCAGUAGCCGACCUGAGAGGGUGACCGGCCACAUUGGGACUGAGACACGGCCCAAACUCCUACGGGAGGCAGCAGUGGGGAAUAUUGCACAAUGGGGGAAACCCUGAUGCAGCGACGCCGCGUGAGCGAAGAAGUAUUUCGGUAUGUAAAGCUCUAUCAGCAGGGAAGAAGAAAUGACGGUACCUGACUAAGAAGCACCGGCUAAAUACGUGCCAGCAGCCGCGGUAAUACGUAUGGUGCAAGCGUUAUCCGGAUUUACUGGGUGUAAAGGGAGCGCAGGCGGAAGGCUAAGUCUGAUGUGAAAGCCCGGGGCUCAACCCCGGUACUGCAUUGGAAACUGGUCAUCUAGAGUGUCGGAGGGGUAAGUGGAAUUCCUAGUGUAGCGGUGAAAUGCGUAGAUAUUAGGAGGAACACCAGUGGCGAAGGCGGCUUACUGGACGAUAACUGACGCUGAGGCUCGAAAGCGUGGGGGAGCAAACAGGAUUAGAUA
This 759-nucleotide ribosomal RNA is filed under the name uncultured Lachnospiraceae bacterium. RNAcentral describes it as "bacterial SSU rRNA". It matches the Rfam family "Bacterial small subunit ribosomal RNA", at positions 28 to 784 of the family's 1533-position model. The record is from RNAcentral. Lineage: Bacteria; Bacillati; Bacillota; Clostridia; Lachnospirales; Lachnospiraceae.